RNAcentral lists this ribosomal RNA (450 nucleotides) under uncultured bacterium. RNAcentral's name for it is "partial 16S ribosomal RNA". It matches the Rfam family "Bacterial small subunit ribosomal RNA", at positions 354 to 796 of the family's 1533-position model. The record is from RNAcentral.
GUGGGGAAUUUUGGACAAUGGGCGCAAGCCUGAUCCAGCAAUGCCGCGUGCAGGAAGAAGGCCUUCGGGUUGUAAACUGCUUUUGUACGGAACGAAACGGUCCUGGUUAAUACCUGGGGCUAAUGACGGUACCGUAAGAAUAAGCACCGGCUAACUACGUGCCAGCAGCCGCGGUAAUUAGUAGGGUGCGAGCGUUAAUCGGAAUUACUGGGCGUAAAGCGUGCGCAGGCGGUGCUGUAAGACAGGCGUGAAAUCCCCGGGCCCAACCUGGGAAUUGCGCUUGUGACUGCAAGGCUGGAGUGCGGCAGAGGGGGAUGGAAUUCCGCGUGUAGCAGUGAAAUGCGUAGAUAUGCGGAGGAACACCGAUGGCGAAGGCAAUCCCCUGGGCCUGCACUGACGCUCAUGCACGAAAGCGUGGGGAGCAAACAGGAUUAGAUACCCCGGUAGUCC